This is a long non-coding RNA of Micropterus dolomieu (smallmouth bass), 751 nucleotides long. RefSeq lists it as uncharacterized. The record is from RefSeq and is a predicted model, not a curated record. Lineage: Eukaryota; Metazoa; Chordata; Actinopteri; Centrarchiformes; Centrarchidae. The transcript is spliced from 4 exons.
GUGAAAAAGGCCUGUUGAACACACUGGCAUCUGGAAGCUUCAGAGUAAAACUACAGACCUGAGCAGCUCCAGUGGAGCAGUUGGGACUCUCCAGUUCAUCAGCCAUGGACAGAACGGUGCUGCUGGUCCUGUUGUGUCUGCAGGCUUUCCUGCUCAUCACGGCCUUCACUUCUCUUGAUGCAGCCGCUCUGGUGAAAGAUGAUAAACAACAACUUUCUCCUGAUCAGGAAAAAAGACCAAGGUUGAAAUUUAGGAAGAAGAGAGGCUGUGAAAACAUGGCAGGAGCAUGUGACCCUUUUGGCAAGCAGAACUAAAGGAUUUGAAAUUGACUACUGAUGUCCGAACCUCAUCCGACCUCCACUCCUCAUCAAUCAUACUGUAAAUCAUCAACCCAAGAACAGAUCUCAUCUGUGUAAAAUCAUUUUCUGCAAACAUGUUGCAUUAUGGUAUAUAUUUGAAUAAAUGUGAGUUUUAAUGACAAAAACCCUGUUUCAGUAAAUGCAUUAAUAGAAAAUCUUUUAAGAUGCUAAAAUAACUAAUGUCUAUUUCCUAUGAUAAACGAUGAUCGGUGGGGGGAAGUAACUGAGUAGAUUUACUCAAUAACUAUACUUAACUGGAAAUUUGAUGUACUUGUACUUGACUUGAGUAGUGCCAUUUUUAUUGUAUUUUAUACAUUGUACGUUUCACUCGACUAUAUUGAUCUGACAGAUCUAGUCAAAUGUCUUUACUGAAAUAAAGGAUCUGAAUACUU